Non-coding RNA from Peromyscus maniculatus bairdii (prairie deer mouse), 2620 nucleotides. Lineage: Eukaryota; Metazoa; Chordata; Mammalia; Rodentia; Cricetidae. The record is from RefSeq and is a predicted model, not a curated record.
ACGGGGCCUGACUGCGCGUGCGCACGGGGCCCGCAGCGGCCCGGCUCUCCAUGGCGGCCUGAGGCCCUCCUCUUGUUGCGCGGGUCUGAACUCCACCAAGCCCUCCUCAAAGGAGCGCUCCGUCCGCAGAGACGCCGCUCCUGGCCGGAGGGUUCCUGACCAGGAAGGUGGACGAGGGCUGUACACCGGCAACCCCAACCUCCGAGGGAACGGGGAACAAAUUUCACGCGAGGUUUCGGAACUGUCGCGAGAAUCGGAACGGGAAACGAGGCGUCCAAAAGGAAAAGCCCGCGGGUUUUAAGCCAGGGAAGAACUGGAACCGGCAGGUGCCGAUGGUGGCACUAGGCAGUCCCUUGGCUGGGGGACGCAUGAAGUGUUGACCUGCAAGCAGAAGUGAACCGAGGGUUGCAGAAGGUUCUGGAAAAGGCGCGAGGGGGCUUGCCUGGCGGAGUUCGGAGGCCCUCGGGGAGGUCCCUGCUGUGGCCGACAGUGGCCCUGGGGUGGCGAUCGUCCCCCCGCCGAGGUAGAGCGGGAGCUGUCCAGGAGAGCUAAAGGACUGUGAGCGUCCAGCGCUGGCAGCCCCUGCCAAUCAGCAGCGUCAGGGGCCCAGGCGCCCCCUCCACCUUGUCGUUCCCGGUGUUUGCUGUUAGUCUUUGCCAUACCUUGCGCCCCUACUAGAAACCACGCCCGGUUCCCCACUGUAUUUUAUGACUCUCUACCCCCGCGACAGGCUGCUGAGUAAGUUCUUGGGAAGCAUUUGUGCAUUAAACGUGAAAGACUCCCCGACUCUGAAAGAUGACUUUUAACUGAAUUUGCUGUCACUGGUGAGAGGCUAGGGAUUAAAUCGACGGAGAACGAGCGCCCUCUGGUGUCUCUAGGAUGCUGUAAGCCAGAUCAAGCUGAAUUGAAAAAGUAAAAGAACAGGUAUAUUUGAGUAAAGCAACUCCUGGGUGAGUCCUCCAAGCCCAGAGAUCGGCCAAAGAAGUCAUGCGUCCCAACUAAAGCAGGGAGCAUAUAUACCCUGUAGGCGAGACAGACUUGUCUUCCACAAGCUGGGUUUGUGCCCAAGCGUGGUCAAAAACUGACUGCUUUAGGCGGGGUCUUGGGCUACUGGCAACUUCCGGGGAGGAGCUGCCGAAGUCUCCAAGAAUUCGGAACUGGGCUUUUUGGUGCCUUUGCUUUGUUGGAUAUUCUCUGAGAGGGUGGCAUUUGGAGAGAGAAGAAUCGGACUUUCCAGAUCAUGCUUGAGUGAACUGGAGGUUCCACCCAAACAGAUCUGUGCAUGUGAAUGCAGUUAUCAACAGAAGCCAGGGAUGUUGGAUCCCUGGAGAUGGAGUUGGAGGUAUGGGCAUGCUGCUGUGAGCUGGGAACCCAGCUCUGGUCCUCUGGAAGAGCCUUAAUACUCAACCACUGAACCGUCUCUGCGGCCCAGCGGUGGAUGUUUAAAAAGACUCCAAAGUGCCAUGCUGUGGAGAUGCAGGGAUGUGUGUGGCCAGAUGGUAGGAAAUGACGAGGUAGGAAGGUGAUGAGGAACUUCCUGUGUGGGUCACAGCUUCUCAGCACUGAGGCUUCAGGGCGGGAGCCUAGAGAGGUCUAGGGGUGUGGCUCAGUGGCACAGUUUACACGAGGCCUUGGAUUUGGAUCUUCAACACUACAGAAAAGUGGGAUCAGCCUUCUCACAGGCUUGGGACAGGAACAGCACCUAGGACCUAGGGAGCUGACAGUUUCCUCAGGGUGAGAAGGAAAUGGAAGAGAGGACUUGUCCAGAGGCACCCUGUUCCGCGGCACAUCAGAGGGUAUUUCUGGGCCCCAAAUCCUAACCUGGGAAGGAGAAGACCAUCGUGGCCAAAGGAUAGCCAGGAGCCACCUGAAAUCAGGAAGAAAAUCGGCGUUGCAUAAAGAUGUGUGCAAGCUGGCUGUGGGCCUGAGACAAGCAGCUUCGCUUCUCUGGGCCACUUCAAGGAUAGGGCUGGACAGUGCUGAAGCCCAGGCCCUAACACUUCAUAGUCUGUCAAAGUGCCCGGGACUCCGGCUUGCAGGCACCAAAGGAUGCAGCAAUGUGCUCCUCACCCUGACUUCCAAGAGCUUCUGGCUUCACAGGAGAGAAGGUUCAGAACUUAUAAACACAGAAAUAAUUAAAAGGGGGCUGGAGAGACGGCUCAGUGGUUAAGAACACUUGUUGCUCUCCCAGAGGACCCAAGUUCAGUUCUCAGCACUCACAUGUGACGCCUCCCAGCCACUUGUAACUCCAGUUCCAGGGGUCCUAAUCCCUCUUCUGACUUCUAUGGACACCCCCGACACGAAGAGAUAUCCAUAUACAUAAAUUAAAAAGUAAAUUGUUUAAACAAAGGUGACUCUAAAAAAGAAACACUAAAUUAUCAUCACACGUGACUCAGAAGAGUGCAGGUGCUGAGUGUUUGGAGGGUGUGCACAGGAAGCAGAUGUCCCCAUUCAGAGAGAGCAAACAAGCCUGUUGCCCAUUCAACGUCCAGUUUCUCAACAACGAACAACGGAGCCCAUGGUAUGCAAAACCAUUGUCCUUUCCACCCACCCAACGCCCAGUCUAGUCUGGAAACGGACACCAAAGCUAUAAUGGCACAAAUAAAGUAUCUGAAAAGCU